Molecule: ribosomal RNA, 497 nt
Filed under: uncultured bacterium
Lineage: Bacteria
Description: partial 16S ribosomal RNA
Rfam family: Bacterial small subunit ribosomal RNA
Source: RNAcentral
GAUGAACGCUGGCGGCGUGCCUAAUACAUGCAAGUCGAACGAACGGACGAGAAGCUUGCUUCUUUGAUGUUAGCGGCGGACGGGUGAGUAACACGUGGAUAACCUACCUAUAUGACUGGGAUAACUUCGGGAAACCGGAGAUAAUACCGGAUAAUAUUUUGAACCGCAUGGUUCAAAAGUGAAAGACGGUCUUGCUGUCACUAAUAGAUGGAUCCGCGCUGCAUUAGCGAGUUGGUAAGGUAACGGCUUACCAAGGCAACGAUGCAUAGCCGACCUGAGAGGGUGAUCGGCCACACUGGAACUGAGACACGGUCCAGACUCCUACGGGAGGCAGCAGUAGGGAAUCUUGGGCAAUGGGCGAAAGCCUGACGGAGCAACGCCGCGUGAGUGAUGAAGGCCUUCGGAUCGUAAAGCUCUGUUAUUGGGGAAGAACAGAUGUGGAAGUAACUGUGCACAUCUUGACGGUACCUAAUCAGAAAGCCACGGCUAACUACGUG